This 442-nucleotide ribosomal RNA is filed under the name uncultured bacterium. RNAcentral describes it as "partial 16S ribosomal RNA". It matches the Rfam family "Bacterial small subunit ribosomal RNA", at positions 338 to 795 of the family's 1533-position model. The record is from RNAcentral.
CCUACGGGAGACAGCAGUGGGGAAUAUUGGGCAAUGGGCGCAAGCCUGACCCAGCAACGCCGCGUGAAGUAAGAAGGCUCUCGGGUUGUAAACUUCUUUUUAGAGGGAAGAGCAGAAGACGGUACCUCUUGAAUAAGCCACGGCUAACUACGUGCCAGCAGCCGCGGUCAUACGUAGGUGGCAAGCGUUGUCCGGAUUUACUGGGUGUAAAGGGCGUGCAGCGGGGAAGACAAGUCAGAUGGGAAAUCCCGCGGCUCAACCGCGGAACUGCAGUUGAAACUGUUUUUCUUGAGUACCCGAGAGGUCAGCGGAAUGCGUGGUGUAGCGGUGAAAUGCGUAGAUAUAACGAAGAACACCAGUGGCGAAGGCGGAUGACUGGACGGCAACUGACGGUGAGGCGCGAAAGCGUGGGGAGCAAACAGGAUUAGAUACCCUAGUAGUC